This 497-nucleotide ribosomal RNA is filed under the name uncultured bacterium. Its description in RNAcentral is "partial 16S ribosomal RNA". It matches the Rfam family "Bacterial small subunit ribosomal RNA", at positions 28 to 507 of the family's 1533-position model. The record is from RNAcentral.
GAUGAACGCUGGCGGCGUGCCUAAUACAUGCAAGUCGAGCGAACAGACGAGGAGCUUGCUCCUCUGACGUUAGCGGCGGACGGGUGAGUAACACGUGGAUAACCUACCUAUAAGACUGGGAUAACUUCGGGAAACCGGAGCUAAUACCGGAUAAUAUAUUGAACCGCAUGGUUCAAUAGUGAAAGACGGUUUUGCUGUCACUUAUAGCUGGAUCCGCGCCGCAUUAGCUAGUUGGUAAGGUAACGGCUUACCAAGGCAACGAUGCGUAGCCGACCUGAGAGGGUGAUCGGCCACACUGGAACUGAGACACGGUCCAGACUCCUACGAGAGGCAGCAGUAGGGAAUCUGCCGCAAUGGGCGAAAGCUUGACGGAGCAACGCCGCGUGAGUGAUGAAGGUCUUCGGAUCGUAAAACUCUGUUAUUGGGGAAGAACAAAUGUGUAAGUAACUAUGCACGUCUUGACGGUACCUAGUCAGAAAGCCACGGCUAACUACGUG